RNAcentral lists this long non-coding RNA (3810 nucleotides) under Mus musculus (house mouse). Its description in RNAcentral is "long non-coding RNA chr10:40350666-40354476". Lineage: Eukaryota; Metazoa; Chordata; Mammalia; Rodentia; Muridae. The record is from RNAcentral.
GCCGUUUCCUUAGUUGAGGGGAUCUGUAGGAAUCUCUUGGGAAGUCUUUAUGGAUUGUUAUAUCAGUAAAAGACAAGUUGAUAAAGCAUCGAGAAUGUCCCCUUCGGGCCGGUGGUCAGACUGGCUUGUAAGAGCUGGCCCGGUGGAACCAAACUUCAGGCCUGGGAAUGGUGAGUUUAAAGCCAGUUGUCACCUUGGCUCCUUUCUGGAAGGAAUUCCUUUCCCUUAGGUUCUGUAACUUAGACUCAAACGAUUGUCAGACUAUACAAAAGGGAGACUUAAGGAUUGUGAUGGGGCAUUUUUGAUAAGCCGGAUUAUCACCAUACCUCAGAUUUAAAGUGCUCCUUGGGGCCCCUCCUUCCCAGUGCUGUGAUUUGAUAAUGUUGGUGAGGCGCUCCCGCAUCAAAGUAAGCAGUGCUCGAGCUACUUUUCUAAGAAGAAAGCCAGAGCACAGUCGUACCAAGUGUCUCAUACUCAGUACCUGGAAAGUUACAGGUACUGUCCAGAACUCAAGGAUGAUGGUUAAUCGCUAUUGCAGGUAGACCUGUCUAGGCCAAGCUACUCAGUUGUCUGAGCUGUUUCUUUUAAUUACCACAUGUCCUCGAGUGCACACCAGGGGCUGGAGGGUACUGUAAUUGACUUGCACUCUGUUUUUGGCAUAGCCACUCUCCUGAUUAAAUUGAUAUUCCAGUGGGACUCUUCACAGGGCUGUUUGGGGAAAGCAAAUCCAGUGCUGUCAUUUGGACACUGUGGUUCCAUUGUUGGGCUGGAUUUUCCCGUAUCCCCAGGGACUGUGCUAACGUUGUGAUACAUGUCAUCUAGAAUACACAAAGUUUUCAUUAAAAAUAUCUUAAAAUAUUUUCAUUUGCCCUGAGUCUUUGAGAACUUUAACAAUUCUGUUUCUGAGUCACAUAGACUAGAUGGGAUUACAACAGAAACAGUUUCCGCUUCUUAGUUUUCACUAUAUAAUAAGGAUAUUGAUUAAAAUACACUUAUUCUAUGAGUGAAAUUGGUAAAGUAGAGUACAUAAAAUAAGGUCAGUUUUUGUAUUUUCAAAGUAGAAUUAAAACAAAACAAAACAAAACAAAAAACCAAAACACUUAGAGCUAGAGGCAGGCAUAGAUGGAUCUCUGAGUUGGAGGCUAGCCUGGUCUACAGAUGGAGUUCCAGGCCAGCCAUGGCUACACAGAGAAGCCCUGUUUCAAAAACACCAACAAAACAAAAUAAACCAACCAACAAAAAACCACUUAGAAUAUGAAAAUAUAUUUUCAGACCAUUAUAUCACAUGUUCAGACCACUAUAUCGCAUGUAAGACAAUCCAUGAUAGGUUUUAUUUAUUGAUUUUCUUGGGUUAAGAGUCUGGUUCAGAUUCCUGGGUUUACACUAAACAUUCAAGUCUCUUGUGAUUUGGUAGUGGGAUUAGUUUUAUGUUCAUUACUAAUCAGCAAUUUGAAAGAACAGAAGGUUUUAGUGGUAGUUCUCAAAUGUGAUACGGAUUUGGAUAGUUAAGGAUUUUAUCCUCUGGUCAUUCUAAAUUACAGUUCCCCUCUUUACAUUUUAUUUUGGUAAGCUCAGGAAAAUGAGUGGUGCGAUGCUAUUUUAGGGAGCAAGAAAGAUGAGGGCCUGCUAGAGAAAAAUAAUUCUAGUGUAUAUAACACUAUUGCAUAUACAUGCAUACAUAUGUGUACACACACAUAAAUGUACUCUAUCAUAUAAAUAAAAAUUGUCAGAACUUUAGAAUAACAUUACAGGUUGUUAGUUACUUCAAAAUGAGAUUUUCAAAUGAGAUUUAAAAUAGGCAAUACAAUGCAGUGUGUAUUUAUAGCAGGCUAGAAAUAUAAGACAUGUCUUGAGUUUUUCACCUUUAUAUAUUUAAUUGUUGCAUAAAGAUUUUCAUACACAGUGGUACUAGUGAUGUUUUGAUCCCUUGUACAUUGUAUACUGUUUCCACCAGAGUAAAAAUGUCUCCUCAGACACUUAGAAUGUCAUUGUGUUGAAACAUUGGAAAUGUUGUUUCUAGCUUACUUGACAUGUUGUAUCAGUUUCUUUGCUGUUCAACAUGGCACGGUGGCUUAUUUCUCCCAAAGUGUUUUCCUUUAAUAAAAAUGUUUUUCAUUAAUUUUUCAUUUGGAAGGAAAAUGAAAAUAUUGACCCCUGUAAAAAGCAGUCAGGCUUGCACCCUCAAGAUGGCACACCUGCUGCCUAGAAUGUGCUGGCACGCAUGAGGCCUGAGCCGCAGCCUGGGGGAUUGUCAUGGUUGAAGAUACCCAUUUCCACAGAGCUGUCCUCUGACUUCCACACCUGUGACAUGUGGGUGUUCUCUCCUCUAGGUAUUCAAAGGAAAUAAAUGCCAAAAAAAAAAAAAUUCAGGCUGAAAAUUAAUUACCUACAAUUUACUUAUUAGACAUAUUACAUGUGAGCUGUGGCAUGCACUUGGAGGUCAGGAGACAACCUUGUGGCAUGGAUCUUGUCUACCUUCAUAUAGGUUCUGAGGGUUGAAUUGAAGCUGCCGUGCUGGCGUUAUCUAUCAGACAGGUGCCUUCACCUGCUGGACCAUUUUGUUGGCCCAAAUUUACUUACUGGUUCUGAGGUCCAAUAUAGAGCCUUGGGAAUACCCAGCAUGCACGCUGCCACUGAGCUAUGCUUCCAGCUCUAGGAUAUCUUAGAAUUUUUUAGUAUGAGUAAGAAUUCAUAAGAUUUUUUUUCCUUAGUAGUAAAAAGUUUCACACUGUGCUGGGGAUGUAGCUCAGUUGGUAGAAUGCUUGCAUAGCACACAGAGGCUCUAGGUUCUAUACUGUAUAAGCCGGACUUGACACAAUACCAAUACUUGGGAAAUGGAGCCAGGAGGAUCAGAUGCUCAAGGCUGUAGUUAGCUAUAUAUGAGUUCCAUCCAGCCUGGGGCACCUGAGACCCUGUUUCAAAAAAAGUUGGGCAUAAAACUUUAUAGUGACAAGUCUGAAAACAGUAUCUUUCUAGUUAGGAGCACUUAAUUAUGACUGAUAAAGGAAUAUUGUUAAAUUCUUUUCAUUAAAAGGGUCAUAAAAACCUGAUUCUAUGGCAUAGGAUUAUAUAUGAAAACUUGACUAAUGUGAGUUGGAUUUCCAAGACUGAUUGAAAACAAAAAGUUGCUUUGUAUGACUGUUUUUGAAAGGUACUUGGUAAUCGAAAGUGGAGUGGCUGCCAGAGUUCCUAAGAGUUUCAGUUUUGUCUUAGGUUUCAGCUGAGGACUAGGGUACGUAGGCAUGUUUUAAUGUCUCAUGAAGUCCUUCACGUGUAACUACAUGUAGAUAGACACGGAAAAUCAGUGCAGCAGCAUCUGUCUGGGUGGUUUUUGUUUUUUUUUUUUUUUUUUUUGCAUCUGCCUGUUUUUAAUGGAGUUUCCCCAGUUGGUUUGUAGAUUUUUGUGUUUGCUUUGUGUGUGUGUGUGUUUGCAUUUUGAUCGGUGGCUCCUGGAGGUUUAGGUAGUCCGCUCUGUGAUAAUAAGUAGUAUUUUCUAAUUCUCAACAGCUUUAGAUCAUCUAGCUCAACUGCCUUUGUUUUAGACAGCGGAGCUCAGGGAAACUCAGGGCUCCAAGGUUAUUAACUCACUGUCACACAGAACUAGGAAGCCUGAAGCCCAGACAGGAGUCCUGUAUUUUGUUAUGCAUUUUCCUUCCUAAUGAGAAGAAAGCAAAAAAGGCCAUUUUGGCCGGGCGUGGUGGCGCACGCCUUUAAUCCCAGCACUCGGGAGGCAGAGGCAGGCCUGUUCUACAAAGUGAGUUCCAGGACAGCUAGGGCUCUACAGAGAAACCCUGUCUCGAAAAACAAAGC